ACCGCCAAAACCCCCAAAAGAGAAAAAUAAACGCUGUAGCCUUCGGGAACGGUUGUUUCGGCUCCUGUUCUGUGGGCGGCUGAGGACCGCCGGCUGCCGGGCUCGGAGAAGAACAGUCUGAAAACUGUGGUGCAGAGACAUUAAAUGCCUUUCACAAACGUACGAGGGUGUAAGUGGCAGAGGCGGAGUCUGAACACAUCUACUGGACCCCUAAUUGGAAGCUCUUAGCAGAGGGCAGCAGGGUUAUCAGGCCUCUGCCAGAAACUCGAACUGUCCUUGGUGAUUCAUUUUUAAAAUCUGAGGUUAGAAUUGUGGAAGACGUAAUGGAAUGACGUAAAGAGGGAAAUCAAGUACC
Molecule: long non-coding RNA, 355 nt
Filed under: Equus caballus (horse)
Lineage: Eukaryota; Metazoa; Chordata; Mammalia; Perissodactyla; Equidae
Description: lncRNA (ENSECAG00000056659.1)
Source: RNAcentral